GGCAUAUCAAAAAGCGGAGGAAAAGAAACCAACAGGGAUUGCCCUAGUAACGGCGAGUGAAGCGGCAACAGCUCAAAUUUGAAAUCUGGCGUCUUCGGCGUCCGAGUUGUAAUUUGCAGAGGGCGCUUUGGCAUUGGCAGCGGUCCAAGUUCCUUGGAACAGGACGUCACAGAGGGUGAGAAUCCCGUACGUGGUCGCUAGCCUUUACCGUGUAAAGCCCCUUCGACGAGUCGAGUUGUUUGGGAAUGCAGCUCUAAAUGGGAGGUAAAUUUCUUCUAAAGCUAAAUACUGGCCAGAGACCGAUAGCGCACAAGUAGAGUGAUCGAAAGAUGAAAAGCACUUUGGAAAGAGAGUUAAAAAGCACGUGAAAUUGUUGAAAGGGAAGCGCUUGCAGCCAGACUUGCCUGUAGUUGCUCAUCCGGGUUUCUACCCGGUGCACUCUUCUACGGGCAGGCCAGCAUCAGUUUGGGCGGUUGGAUAAAGGUCUCUGUCAUGUACCUCCUCUCGGGGAGAACUUAUAGGGGAGACGACAUGCAACCAGCCCGGACUGAGGUCCGCGCAUCUGCUAGGAUGCUGGCGUAAUGGCUGUAAGCGGCCCGUCUUGAAACACGGACCA
RNAcentral lists this ribosomal RNA (616 nucleotides) under Epicoccum nigrum. RNAcentral describes it as "partial large subunit ribosomal RNA". It matches the Rfam family "Eukaryotic large subunit ribosomal RNA", at positions 37 to 668 of the family's 3401-position model. The record is from RNAcentral. Lineage: Eukaryota; Fungi; Ascomycota; Dothideomycetes; Pleosporales; Didymellaceae.